This 190-nucleotide ribosomal RNA is filed under the name uncultured Flavobacterium sp. Its description in RNAcentral is "partial 16S ribosomal RNA". It matches the Rfam family "Bacterial small subunit ribosomal RNA", at positions 337 to 524 of the family's 1533-position model. The record is from RNAcentral. Lineage: Bacteria; Pseudomonadati; Bacteroidota; Flavobacteriia; Flavobacteriales; Flavobacteriaceae.
UCCUACGGGAGGCAGCAGUAAGGAAUAUUGGACAAUGGACGAAAGUCUGAUCCAGCCAUGCCGCGUGCAGGAUGACAGCCCUACGGGUUGUAAACUGCUUUUAUACAGGAAGAAACACUCCGACGUGUCGGAGCUUGACGGUACUGUAAGAAUAAGGAUCGGCUAACUCCGUGCCAUCAGCCGCGGUAAU